This 703-nucleotide ribosomal RNA is filed under the name uncultured bacterium. RNAcentral's name for it is "bacterial SSU rRNA". It matches the Rfam family "Bacterial small subunit ribosomal RNA", at positions 56 to 755 of the family's 1533-position model. The record is from RNAcentral.
UGCAGUCGAACGGCAGCACGGAGCUUGCUCUGGUGGCGAGUGGCGAACGGGUGAGUAAUAUAUCGGAACGUACCCUAGAGUGGGGGAUAACGUAGCGAAAGUUACGCUAAUACCGCAUACGAUCUAAGGAUGAAAGUGGGGGAUCGCAAGACCUCAUGCUCGUGGAGCGGCCGAUAUCUGAUUAGCUAGUUGGUAGGGUAAAAGCCUACCAAGGCAUCGAUCAGUAGCUGGUCUGAGAGGACGACCAGCCACACUGGAACUGAGACACGGUCCAGACUCCUACGGGAGGCAGCAGUGGGGAAUUUUGGACAAUGGGCGAAAGCCUGAUCCAGCAAUGCCGCGUGAGUGAAGAAGGCCUUCGGGUUGUAAAGCUCUUUUGUCAGGGAAGAAACGGUGAGAGUUAAUAUCUCUUGCUAAUGACGGUACCUGAAGAAUAAGCACCGGCUAACUACGUGCCAGCAGCCGCGGUAAUACGUAGGGUGCAAGCGUUAAUCGGAAUUACUGGGCGUAAAGCGUGCGCAGGCGGUUUUGUAAGUCUGAUGUGAAAUCCCCGGGCUCAACCUGGGAAUUGCAUUGGAGACUGUAAGGCUAGAAUCUGGCAGAGGGGGGUAGAAUUCCACGUGUAGCAGUGAAAUGCGUAGAUAUGUGGAGGAACACCGAUGGCGAAGGCAGCCCCCUGGGUCAAGAUUGACGCUCAUGCACG